RNAcentral lists this ribosomal RNA (394 nucleotides) under uncultured bacterium. RNAcentral describes it as "bacterial SSU rRNA". It matches the Rfam family "Bacterial small subunit ribosomal RNA", at positions 775 to 1171 of the family's 1533-position model. The record is from RNAcentral.
GGAUUAGAAACCCGGGUAGUCCACGCCGUAAACGAUGGAUACUAGCUGUCCGGCCCCUUGCGGGCUGGGCGGCCAAGCGAAAGUGAUAAGUAUCCCACCUGGGGAGUACGUCCGCAAGGAUGAAACUCAAAGGAAUUGACGGGGGCCCGCACAAGCGGUGGAGCAUGUGGUUUAAUUCGAUGAUACGCGAGGAACCUUACCAGGGCUUGAAUGUAGGGCGACGGGCGCGGAAACGCGCCUUUCCUCGGACGGCCUACAAGGUGCUGCAUGGUUGUCGUCAGCUCGUGCCGUGAGGUGUCAGGUUAAGUCCUAUAACGAGCGCAACCCCUGUUGCCAGUUGCCAGCGAAUAAUGUCGGGGACUCUGGCAAGACUGCCGGUGCAAACCGCGAGGAA